GACGAACGCUGGCGGCGUGCCUAACACAUGCAAGUCGAGCGAGAAUCUAUUAAUUGAUUCCUUCGGGAUGAUUUUGAUAGAGGAAAGCGGCGGACGGGUGAGUAACGCGUGAGUAACCUGCCUUAUGGAGGGGGACAACAUUUGGAAACAAGUGCUAAUACCGUAUAAUACUAACAACCGCAUGGUUGUUAAUUGAAAGAUGGUUUUGCUAUCACUAAGAGAUGGACCCGCGGUGCAUUAGCUAGUUGGUAAGGUAAUGGCUUACCAAGGCGAUGAUGCGUAGCCGAGUUGAGAGACUGAUCGGCCACAAUGGGACUGAGACACGGCCCAU
This 331-nucleotide ribosomal RNA is filed under the name uncultured bacterium. RNAcentral describes it as "bacterial SSU rRNA". It matches the Rfam family "Bacterial small subunit ribosomal RNA", at positions 28 to 334 of the family's 1533-position model. The record is from RNAcentral.